AUGUUUAGGAAAAUGUACCGAGGUGGUUCUUCAAGGAAGCAAGGACCCAGGCCCGCAAUACGUGAGCCAGACUAUGAACUACCAAGAGAAGCUCAAGUGCGGCCUUGUGAAUGGCCGUCAGAAAAUUUCAUGGUCCAAGCAGGAAUUAAGGAGGAAUUUGACGCAUAUGCAAAAGGGAGAUAUGUUAUAACCAGGGAGGAGGUGAACGAGUAUGAGAGGAGGACGGAGGCAGCUCGCCUCCAAGCUACAGCUCAUCAAGCAAUAGCCGCUGCAUCUCAGUACGACCCCAGUUACAACUUUGGAUAUCCGCCAGGCCAGCCAUGGCCGUAG
Molecule: ribosomal RNA, 330 nt
Filed under: Triticum aestivum (bread wheat)
Lineage: Eukaryota; Viridiplantae; Streptophyta; Magnoliopsida; Poales; Poaceae
Description: partial small subunit ribosomal RNA
Source: RNAcentral